This is a non-coding RNA of Maylandia zebra (zebra mbuna), 368 nucleotides long. Lineage: Eukaryota; Metazoa; Chordata; Actinopteri; Cichliformes; Cichlidae. The record is from RefSeq and is a predicted model, not a curated record.
UCCAGCUGCAGUCUCUCCUGCAGUGAGAACAGAAUACGUCACUUAUGGGCAAAUCAUCAUCAAAGACAAGAAAAAAAAGUCAGAGAGUGAUUCAGCUGCAGUGUACUCAGGAGUGAGAACAGAAGACAUCAAUUACGGACAAAUAGCCUUCAGACCAAAGAGGAAAAAAGACUGUAAACCAGAGCCAGACGUCGUCUACUCUUCACUGAAGUAGUCCACCAGUCCAACCAUUGAUGUCCAGCUGCUGGUCUCUAACUGGUCCCCCAGCACCUCCACAGACACAUCCAUAUGUUGAAAAGAUUUCUUUUUGAUGUUUUGUGUCUUUUAUUUCACUUAUUACAUCCUCCUCCACUUACAAAUUCAGGGUU